GAUGAACGCUGGCGGCGUGCCUAAUACAUGCAAGUCGAGCGGACAGACGAGGCUCUUGCUUCUCUGACGUUAGCCGCAGACGUGUGAAUCACGCGUGUAUCACCUACCUAUCAGUCUGGUAUCACUUCGGAAAACCGGAGCUUAUACCGUAUAAGCUUUUGCACCGCGUGGUUCGAUGGUGAAAGACGGUGUUUCUGUCACUUAUAGAUGGAUCCGGGCGGCUUUAUCUAGUUGUUAAGGUAACAGCUUACCAAGGCUACGCUGCGUAACAGACGUGAGAGAGUGAUAGGCCACACUGGAACGGAGACAGGGUCCAGAGGCCUAAGGGAGGGAGCAGUAGGGAAUCUUACGCAAUGGGCGAAAGCCUGACGGAGCAGCGCGGAGUGAGUGAUGAAGGUGUUCGGAUCGGAAAACUCGGUUAUGAGGGAAGAACAAAUGUGUAAGUAACUGUGGCCUGCUUGACGGUACCUAAUAAGAAAGCAACGGCUAACUACGUG
This 497-nucleotide ribosomal RNA is filed under the name uncultured bacterium. RNAcentral's name for it is "partial 16S ribosomal RNA". It matches the Rfam family "Bacterial small subunit ribosomal RNA", at positions 28 to 507 of the family's 1533-position model. The record is from RNAcentral.